This 547-nucleotide ribosomal RNA is filed under the name Clostridioides difficile. RNAcentral describes it as "bacterial SSU rRNA". It matches the Rfam family "Bacterial small subunit ribosomal RNA", at positions 995 to 1533 of the family's 1533-position model. Lineage: Bacteria; Bacillati; Bacillota; Clostridia; Peptostreptococcales; Peptostreptococcaceae. The record is from RNAcentral.
CAUCUCCUUAAUCGGAGAGUUCCCUUCGGGGACAUUGGUGACAGGUGGUGCAUGGUUGUCGUCAGCUCGUGUCGUGAGAUGUUGGGUUAAGUCCCGCAACGAGCGCAACCCUUGUCUUUAGUUGCCAUCAUUAAGUUGGGCACUCUAGAGAGACUGCCAGGGAUAACCUGGAGGAAGGUGGGGAUGACGUCAAAUCAUCAUGCCCCUUAUGCUUAGGGCUACACACGUGCUACAAUGGGUAGUACAGAGGGUUGCCAAGCCGUAAGGUGGAGCUAAUCCCUUAAAGCUACUCUCAGUUCGGAUUGUAGGCUGAAACUCGCCUACAUGAAGCUGGAGUUACUAGUAAUCGCAGAUCAGAAUGCUGCGGUGAAUGCGUUCCCGGGUCUUGUACACACCGCCCGUCACACCACGGGAGUUGGAGACGCCCGAAGCCGAUUAUCUAACCGUUUGGAAGAAGUCGUCGAAGGUGGAAUCAAUAACUGGGGUGAAGUCGUAACAAGGUAGCCGUAUCGGAAGGUGCGGCUGGAUCACCUCCUUUCUAAGGAGA